RNAcentral lists this ribosomal RNA (253 nucleotides) under uncultured bacterium. RNAcentral describes it as "partial 16S ribosomal RNA". It matches the Rfam family "Bacterial small subunit ribosomal RNA", at positions 524 to 776 of the family's 1533-position model. The record is from RNAcentral.
GACGAAGGGGGCUAGCGUUGUUCGGAAUUACUGGGCGUAAAGCGCGUGUAGGUGGUUGUCCAAGUUGGAUGUGAAAGCCUUGAGCUCAACUCAAGAAAUGCAUUCAGGACUGGGCGGCUAGAGGACCGGAGAGGAUAGUGGAAUUCCCAGUGUAGUGGUGAAAUGCGUAGAUAUCAGGAGGAACACCUGUGGCGAAAGCGGCGCACUGGACCACAACUGACGCUGAGGCGCGAAAGCUAGGGGAGCAAACAGG